Long non-coding RNA from Loxodonta africana (African savanna elephant), 494 nucleotides. RefSeq lists it as uncharacterized. The record is from RefSeq and is a predicted model, not a curated record. The transcript is spliced from 2 exons. Lineage: Eukaryota; Metazoa; Chordata; Mammalia; Proboscidea; Elephantidae.
ACCCCGCUUCCCGCCGGGCCUUCUUCCCGCCGGGCCCCUUCCGCCUACCCACCGUUCCUCCGGCGAGAAAGUGACCUUGCUGAAUGCCCGCCAUGCACAUAAAAGCCAGUUACCCCAGGGGCCCUUCACCUCUCCUCGGUGGCGGCCAAGACCUCUUUGUCUCCCGCUCGACCCGCGGCCCCCCCGCCCCUCCUCGAUGCUUUCCCUUGGCCCGUCCUUGUCAAUCAAACCUGGUGCCAAACGCGGGAUCUCGAGUUCUCAGGGAUAUAUUUGUCCUCUCUUCCUGGAAGGCCAAUUAAUUACAAAGUGCGGUUUCUUUUCUUGUGUCCCACCAGAACAACUUCAGAGCCGGCCUAGAGGAAGCCUUGUGCUGCUGCUGUUUAUUCACAUCCAGCUGCUGGAAAGCACCGUUGGUAGACAUUGUUACGUUAGCUGGCUAGGCAGAGGCUGACUUCCACGACGGUAUUAAAGGACCCCAAGAUAUAAUGACUAAA